Molecule: small RNA, 86 nt
Filed under: Halpernia humi
Lineage: Bacteria; Pseudomonadati; Bacteroidota; Flavobacteriia; Flavobacteriales; Weeksellaceae
Description: Chryseobacterium humi Flavo-1 RNA
Rfam family: Flavo-1 RNA
Source: RNAcentral
UUCUAGCCCGGAUAGGAAUGGAAAUCCUUUUUUUGCGGCGGCGAAGCCGCCGCAAAAAAAGAUUGUAAUGGAUAGCCGGACGCAAC